Molecule: transfer RNA, 84 nt
Filed under: Lachnospiraceae bacterium XBB2008
Lineage: Bacteria; Bacillati; Bacillota; Clostridia; Lachnospirales; Lachnospiraceae
Also listed under: 1 other name
Rfam family: tRNA
About the family: Transfer RNA (tRNA) molecules are approximately 80 nucleotides in length. Their secondary structure includes four short double-helical elements and three loops (D, anti-codon, and T loops). Further hydrogen bonds mediate the characteristic L-shaped molecular structure. tRNAs have two regions of fundamental functional importance: the anti-codon, which is responsible for specific mRNA codon recognition, and the 3' end, to which the tRNAs corresponding amino acid is attached (by aminoacyl-tRNA synthetases). tRNAs cope with the degeneracy of the genetic code in two manners: having more than one tRNA (with a specific anti-codon) for a particular amino acid; and 'wobble' base-pairing, i.e. permitting non-standard base-pairing at the 3rd anti-codon position.
Source: Rfam by way of RNAcentral
GCCGGCGUGUCGGAAUUGGCAGACGAGGCAGACUCAAAAUCUGUUAUGGGCAACCAUGUGCGGGUUCAAGUCCCGCCGCCGGCA